Monodelphis domestica (gray short-tailed opossum) is the source of this 1979-nucleotide long non-coding RNA. RefSeq lists it as uncharacterized. Lineage: Eukaryota; Metazoa; Chordata; Mammalia; Didelphimorphia; Didelphidae. The record is from RefSeq and is a predicted model, not a curated record.
CCUGGGAUAGCAUAGGGGGAGGAAUUUCUAGGGAGCCACAUGUAGAAUAAUGGCACUGAGCUGGAACAGAAGGGAAGACCAGAGGGAUGAUUGGGACAUUUUGCUGAUUUAGGAGAUUAUCAAUACUUCAUCUUGCCAACUGAAUGCCUCACCUAUUCCUCCUGAUGUGCCAAUGCGGAUGAUUGUCACAUCACAACACUUUGCAUGGUAAAGGAGUUUGAUGAGCUCAUGCAGCAUAAUUGAAAUGGAAGGGAUGCCCAUGCCGUGCUGUCAAGAAGAAAAGAAAAGUCACCAUAUUUCUUUGAAAUUAAUAGAUGAACGAGACAGAUUUUUCCCCUUCUUUACAAGUUAACAGCGUACAAAUGAAUUUAUACAAUCAUUAAGGACUUGGCAGGGCUGUGGAAGAUUUAAGUCAGCUCUAACUCAUAUUCCCAAGAUUGCUUGAUGGAUAUGCACAUCUGGGAGGAUCUGAAAGGAGGAUUUCCUUCUCCAUUUAAGUGGAUUCUGUGCUCCUCUACAGUAGCAAAAAAAAAGACAGUAUGUGGUCUCCGAGAUUGUUAGAAGGACAUAAUUUCUUUACUCCCCACUAAGCUUCUUAUGAGGAAACUUUUCCAAAGAGCAUUUUUCAUGUUUAAUUUGACUUUGAGAAAAUGUGCAUGUUUUUUGUGGCUGCCAUGUCACUCAAACUUCUCUAUUGUGCUAAGUGAAAUUUGAAAUUUCUUUUGUUGUCCUCAUGUUUCCUUGCCUGAAUUACCUUGCUGCUAUUUCUAUGUGAAUGGUAGGUGGGAUAAGGGGGAAGGUUGGGUGAAAAUGGGCUAAGAAUAUAGGAAUAGGCAUCUGAAAAAAAUUCUACAAGUCACUGAUAAUCAAAAGAAAAACCAAGUAAAGUUAAGUAAUUGAGAUUUCACUUCACGCCCAUGAUAUUUGCAAAGACCAAAAAAGAAAAUGGCAAGUCUCAGAGGAAACAAGUAUAUUAUAUCUUUUGGGGAAACAAAUAUAUUAAUGCCCUGUUGGUGGACUUGUGAAAUGGUAUAGCCAUUCUGUAAAGCAGAUUGGAACGAUGCCCCCAAAGUGACUGAAUGGUGAUAUACUUUCAGUGAUAACAUCAUCAUGAGCCCAUGUCCCCCCAAUAGAUAGGUAAAGAUAUAUUCAUAUGUGUACAUAUAUCUGUAUAUAUGGGAGGGCACAUACUUAUAUACGUAUUGAUAGAUGGAUAGCUCUAGAGAUCAAAGAAGGAGAAAAAGGAUUCAUAUACAGAGAUAUUUAUAGCAUGAGGGAAUUAGAACAGCAAGUGGUAGUGGUAAUUGACUCCACACGGACUCUAGCUUUUGAUUCAAUUCUGGAACUAUCUCAGUUUCCUUUCUAUUCAAUCAUGUGUCUAGUCCAAUUUCUAUCCUGUGAGAAAACUUUAUUCAAUUGUGGGAAUUGUCAGAAACUUUACUAUCUUGUAUGAACCUAGUCCUGCCUGGCUGGAAAACUGAGCCACCUCUACCUCCUGCUUAGAGAUCCUUAACUAAGGACCUAGGUCGUGCUCACUAAAAACUCAGUCAGAUCUCAAGAUGAAUGCAAGAAGUUUUGUCAUAAUUAUACAUAUUAAGCAACCCAUGUGUCUUAUCUGAAAACUGGCUCCACACAAGUUAAUCAGUUGUUAUUUCUGUGUUUCUUUGAUUGAAUAUAGACACUGGGAGGUGGAUAGGAUGCCUCUUUUUCUGAUUUCAGUGAAUUGCACCAAUUUGUUAUCCCCCUCUCAACUUGAAAACUCUCUAAUCUUACCUCCAAUUACAAAUCAUAAUACCUAAUUUUAUAUCCAUGCUAAUUGUUUUCUUUUAAUUAAUUGGUCUUUUAAUUAUUUUUAAUGCAUAAAAAUCUGUCUCCCCCUGUAUUCAGGGGCCAGUGCCAAAGCUGACAAAGCCCUGGUCCCAGUUUCUUAUGCAAUUGGCAUGUAUUAUUUCUCAUAAAUUGAGGUGCUUGCAAGCUCA